This 2903-nucleotide ribosomal RNA is filed under the name Escherichia coli HVH 79 (4-2512823). Its description in RNAcentral is "bacterial LSU rRNA". It matches the Rfam family "Bacterial large subunit ribosomal RNA". The record is from RNAcentral. Lineage: Bacteria; Pseudomonadati; Pseudomonadota; Gammaproteobacteria; Enterobacterales; Enterobacteriaceae.
UUAAGCGACUAAGCGUACACGGUGGAUGCCCUGGCAGUCAGAGGCGAUGAAGGACGUGCUAAUCUGCGAUAAGCGUCGGUAAGGUGAUAUGAACCGUUAUAACCGGCGAUUUCCGAAUGGGGAAACCCAGUGUGUUUCGACACACUAUCAUUAACUGAAUCCAUAGGUUAAUGAGGCGAACCGGGGGAACUGAAACAUCUAAGUACCCCGAGGAAAAGAAAUCAACCGAGAUUCCCCCAGUAGCGGCGAGCGAACGGGGAGGAGCCCAGAGCCUGAAUCAGUGUGUGUGUUAGUGGAAGCGUCUGGAAAGGCGCGCGAUACAGGGUGACAGCCCCGUACACAAAAAUGCACAUACUGUGAGCUCGAUGAGUAGGGCGGGACACGUGGUAUCCUGUCUGAAUAUGGGGGGACCAUCCUCCAAGGCUAAAUACUCCUGACUGACCGAUAGUGAACCAGUACCGUGAGGGAAAGGCGAAAAGAACCCCGGCGAGGGGAGUGAAAAAGAACCUGAAACCGUGUACGUACAAGCAGUGGGAGCCUCUUUAUGGGGUGACUGCGUACCUUUUGUAUAAUGGGUCAGCGACUUAUAUUCUGUAGCAAGGUUAACCGAAUAGGGGAGCCGAAGGGAAACCGAGUCUUAACUGGGCGUUAAGUUGCAGGGUAUAGACCCGAAACCCGGUGAUCUAGCCAUGGGCAGGUUGAAGGUUGGGUAACACUAACUGGAGGACCGAACCGACUAAUGUUGAAAAAUUAGCGGAUGACUUGUGGCUGGGGGUGAAAGGCCAAUCAAACCGGGAGAUAGCUGGUUCUCCCCGAAAGCUAUUUAGGUAGCGCCUCGUGAAUUCAUCUCCGGGGGUAGAGCACUGUUUCGGCAAGGGGGUCAUCCCGACUUACCAACCCGAUGCAAACUGCGAAUACCGGAGAAUGUUAUCACGGGAGACACACGGCGGGUGCUAACGUCCGUCGUGAAGAGGGAAACAACCCAGACCGCCAGCUAAGGUCCCAAAGUCAUGGUUAAGUGGGAAACGAUGUGGGAAGGCCCAGACAGCCAGGAUGUUGGCUUAGAAGCAGCCAUCAUUUAAAGAAAGCGUAAUAGCUCACUGGUCGAGUCGGCCUGCGCGGAAGAUGUAACGGGGCUAAACCAUGCACCGAAGCUGCGGCAGCGACGCUUAUGCGUUGUUGGGUAGGGGAGCGUUCUGUAAGCCUGUGAAGGUGUGCUGUGAGGCAUGCUGGAGGUAUCAGAAGUGCGAAUGCUGACAUAAGUAACGAUAAAGCGGGUGAAAAGCCCGCUCGCCGGAAGACCAAGGGUUCCUGUCCAACGUUAAUCGGGGCAGGGUGAGUCGACCCCUAAGGCGAGGCCGAAAGGCGUAGUCGAUGGGAAACAGGUUAAUAUUCCUGUACUUGGUGUUACUGCGAAGGGGGGACGGAGAAGGCUAUGUUGGCCGGGCGACGGUUGUCCCGGUUUAAGCGUGUAGGCUGGUUUUCCAGGCAAAUCCGGAAAAUCAAGGCUGAGGCGUGAUGACGAGGCACUACGGUGCUGAAGCAACAAAUGCCCUGCUUCCAGGAAAAGCCUCUAAGCAUCAGGUAACAUCAAAUCGUACCCCAAACCGACACAGGUGGUCAGGUAGAGAAUACCAAGGCGCUUGAGAGAACUCGGGUGAAGGAACUAGGCAAAAUGGUGCCGUAACUUCGGGAGAAGGCACGCUGAUAUGUAGGUGAAGCGACUUGCUCGUGGAGCUGAAAUCAGUCGAAGAUACCAGCUGGCUGCAACUGUUUAUUAAAAACACAGCACUGUGCAAACACGAAAGUGGACGUAUACGGUGUGACGCCUGCCCGGUGCCGGAAGGUUAAUUGAUGGGGUUAGCGGUAACGCGAAGCUCUUGAUCGAAGCCCCGGUAAACGGCGGCCGUAACUAUAACGGUCCUAAGGUAGCGAAAUUCCUUGUCGGGUAAGUUCCGACCUGCACGAAUGGCGUAAUGAUGGCCAGGCUGUCUCCACCCGAGACUCAGUGAAAUUGAACUCGCUGUGAAGAUGCAGUGUACCCGCGGCAAGACGGAAAGACCCCGUGAACCUUUACUAUAGCUUGACACUGAACAUUGAGCCUUGAUGUGUAGGAUAGGUGGGAGGCUUUGAAGUGUGGACGCCAGUCUGCAUGGAGCCGACCUUGAAAUACCACCCUUUAAUGUUUGAUGUUCUAACGUUGGCCCCUGAUCGGGGUUGCGGACAGUGUCUGGUGGGUAGUUUGACUGGGGCGGUCUCCUCCUAAAGAGUAACGGAGGAGCACGAAGGUUGGCUAAUCCUGGUCGGACAUCAGGAGGUUAGUGCAAUGGCAUAAGCCAGCUUGACUGCGAGCGUGACGGCGCGAGCAGGUGCGAAAGCAGGUCAUAGUGAUCCGGUGGUUCUGAAUGGAAGGGCCAUCGCUCAACGGAUAAAAGGUACUCCGGGGAUAACAGGCUGAUACCGCCCAAGAGUUCAUAUCGACGGCGGUGUUUGGCACCUCGAUGUCGGCUCAUCACAUCCUGGGGCUGAAGUAGGUCCCAAGGGUAUGGCUGUUCGCCAUUUAAAGUGGUACGCGAGCUGGGUUUAGAACGUCGUGAGACAGUUCGGUCCCUAUCUGCCGUGGGCGCUGGAGAACUGAGGGGGGCUGCUCCUAGUACGAGAGGACCGGAGUGGACGCAUCACUGGUGUUCGGGUUGUCAUGCCAAUGGCACUGCCCGGUAGCUAAAUGCGGAAGAGAUAAGUGCUGAAAGCAUCUAAGCACGAAACUUGCCCCGAGAUGAGUUCUCCCUGAGACUUUAAGUCUCCUGAAGGAACGUUGAAGACGACGACGUUGAUAGGCCGGGUGUGUAAGCGCAGCGAUGCGUUGAGCUAACCGGUACUAAUGAACCGUGAGGCUUAACCUU